This 16419-nucleotide long non-coding RNA is filed under the name Sorghum bicolor (sorghum). Its description in RNAcentral is "long non-coding RNA (SBIC_LNC014646)". The record is from RNAcentral. Lineage: Eukaryota; Viridiplantae; Streptophyta; Magnoliopsida; Poales; Poaceae.
AGAAAAAAAAGUCCUAAGCGGUUUUUGGUGAUGUUGAUCACAUAAUUAAAGGACUAAUGACUUCUUUUAAGUGUUGACAACAUAUUAUGUGUUGUGGGUGCAUGAAAUACAAGUAGAGACUGAUGAGAACAAGGGUGGCCCGAUCUUCCGAAAGGUUCUGCUAACUCUCGAGGAAACGAGACACAAAUCGAUCCGGCUUCCGAACAACACGAUCCGAAACUCCGCAAUCGCAGCACCACGUCUCCUUUGGUUAUCAACCGGUGCUGCACGGUUGACCUCGCCAAGAAGACUAAGUCCUUUGCCUAUGAAUUGAAACACAAGCAAGAACAAGGAAGAAUGCAACCAAUUUGCAGAUGAAAGAUUAAUCUCACGAGUUAGGGUCUCACAAACCGAUGAAACGGCGAAACUGUUCUUGACAGAAUAAUCUAAACAAAAACCCCAAAACCUAACAAGAGUGGCGGUGGCUGGAUAUGUAGGUCUAAGGGUCAUCACCACCCCUGGACGCACCCCCUAACGGGCUCAACAACGAUACAUGGCCCAACGGAACAAAAACGGUGACGCAGCACCGAAACAGAUUGUAGAUGCUGACUUGUUUCGACGUUUCCCGACGAUUCAUAAGGAAUUUGGUCCUCAAACCAACGCCGUUGGUUUCCUUAUGAAUUUAUCUUUCCAACCAUGGUUAGAACAUCGAAAACGGAGUCCAGAUGUGUCCUGGGCAUUCGUUUUACUCCUCGCUAGUCCUGGACUCUGAAACAGGCUUGAAGUCGACUCGGUUUGGGCCUCCUCCUUGACCUGGUCGUCCUUGCUGGCCCUCCAUGCCUCCAAGCCAUCCCUUAUGCAUUCCUUGGUCCUCUGUAUGAUUCCUAAGCAUAAUAUAAUUAUUAGGUAGUAAUCUAUUCUCGAAAUUAUAAAAAGACUUGCUUAGGAACAAGCUCAUCCGUAAAUUUAUUUGUCGUGCGCGAGCUCUUGUGAUUGGACCUUGAAUAUCCAGCGGAGGAUCAUCUUGUGCAUCUGAAGAAGUGAUGUCCUCAUCAUCCUCCCCCUCUUGAAUUGGGGUCGUCCUCGACUCAAGGUCAUCUUCUUCUUCUAAAUAUGACUUCAAAUCUGAAAUGUUGAAAGAAGGACUAACCCCAAACUCAGGCUGGCAACUCAAGUUUAUAUGCAUUAUCAUUUAUUUUCUCAAUAACUUUAUAAGGACCAUCAGCUCUUGGCAUUAAUUUUGACUUACGCAGCUCUAGAAAUCUAUCCUUUCUCAAAUGUAACCAUACUAAAUCACCCGGUUCAAGUUUAAUUUCUUUUCUACCUUCACUGCCAGCAAUUUUAUACUUUUCAUUCAUCUUUUCAAUAUUUGCUUUAGUGGUUUUAUGCAACUUAUGAAUAAAUUCAGCACAUGCACUAGCAUCACUAUGUAUUCUUUCAGUGGUAGGUAAAGGUAAAAGAUCAAUAGGAGCACGAGGGUUAAAACCAUACACUACCUGAAAAGGACUUACCUUGGUCGUAGAAUGUGUUGCCCGAUUGUAAGCAAACUCCACAUGAGGCAAACAUUCUUCCCACAUCUUCAAAUUUUUGUUCAAAACAGCUCUCAACAUGGUGCCCAAAGUGCAGUUCACUACCUCUGUUUGUCCAUCAGUUUUUGGGUGACAAGUUGUUGAAAAUAACAGUUUUGUACCCAACUUGUUCCAUAGAGUACGCCAAAAGUGACUCAAAAAUUUAGCAUCACGAUCUGAAACAGUAGUAGAAGGCAUACCAUGCAAACGAACAAUCUCUUGGAAAAAAGGUCAGCAAUAUGAAUGGCAUUAUCCUUUUAUGACAUAGUAUAAAAUGUGCCAUCUUAGAGAAUCAAUCCACAACAACAAAAAUGCUAUCCCUCCUCCUCUUAGUCCUUCGCAAUCCCAAAACAAAGUCCAUUGAAAUAUCUGCCCAAGGAAUAGAAGGAACAGGAAGAGGCAUAUACAAACCAUGUGGAUUUAGGCGAGACUUAGCAUUUUGACAUGUGGUGCAGCGUGCCACGAACUGCUUAACGUCUCUCCUCAUCUGUGGCCAAAAGAAGUGUGUGGACAAAAUAUCCACCGUCUUCUUAUCACCAAAAUGGCCCAUCAGUCCUCCGCCAUGCGCUUCCUGCAACAACAACAGACAAAACGGAACCAACUGGAAUACAUAAACGGUUAGCUCUAAACAUAAAGCCAUCAUUUAUCACAAACUUGUUCCAUGUGCGACCCUCCUUCAGGAACACAUCUUUAAAAUCAGGAUCAAGCACAUAUUGGUCUUUUAUUGAUUCAAGCGCCAAAAUUCUAUAAUCAAGUUGGGACAGCAUAGUAUAUCGUAUAGACAAAGCAUCAACAAUUAUAUUAUCCUUCCCUUUCUUGUGUGUGUUAACAUAAGGAAAAGAAUCAAUAAAUUCAACCCACUUAGAAUGUCUGAUUCAAAUUGUUUUAAGAACGAAGAUACUUAAGCGAUUCAUGAUCAGAAUGUAUAACAAAUUCCUUAGGCCACAAAUAAUGACGCCACAUCUCUAAAGAACGUACAAGUGCAUACAAUUCCUUAUCAUACGUAGAGUAGAAUAGGGCCAUGCAAUUUUUCGCUAAAAUAUGCAACGGGCUUACCAGCUUGCAUCAACACACCUCCAAUGCCAACUCCACUAGCAUCACAUUCUAACUCAAAAGUCGUACCAAAGUUUGGAAGUUGCAGCAAUGGCGCGUGUGUAAGCUUGUCCUUCAAAGUAUCAAAGGAACUCUCUUGUGCUUUAUCUCAAUGGAACACCACACCUUUCUUUGUCAACUCAUGCAAAGGGGCAGCAAUGGCGCUGAAAUCCUUGAUAAAACGGUGAUAGAAACCUACAAGACCAAUAAAACUUCUCACCUGUGCGAUGGUUUGGGGUACUGGCCAGCUCUUUAUGGCUUCAAUUUUUGACUUGUCCACCUCAAUUCCCUGUGGAGUAACAACAUAGCCAAGAAAAGAGACUCGAUUCGUUCAAAAGAUGCACUUCUCAAGGUUACCAAAUAAACGUGCAUCGCGCAAAGCAUUAAAAACAACACAUAAGUGAUCCAUAUAUGUUCAUCCAAAGACUUGCUAUAUAUCAGUAUAUCAUAAGUAAACCACCACAAAUUGCCCAAUAAAAGCUCUUAAAACAUCAUUCAUCAAUCUCAUGAAAGUACUAGGUGCAUUAGUUAAACCAAAAGGCAUGACUAACCACUCAUAUAAACCAAAUUUAGUUUUGAAUGCUGUUUUCCAUUCAUCUCAAAGUUUCAUUCUAAUUUGGUGGUAGCCACUAUGCAAGUCAACCUUAGUGAAAAUUACAGAGCCACACAACUCAUCAAGCAUGUCAUCAAGCCUAGGAAUAGGAUGACAAUAUCAAAUAGUAAUAUUACCAAAAUCAUAGGAAUAGCACAAGGACUAAGGCUUUCUCGUACAUACCCGCGGUCCAAAAGGUCUAGGGCUUGUUGCUGAAUUUCCUUAGUCUCCUCGGGAUUGGUUCGAUAAGUAGCUAAGUUUGGCAAUGUUGCACCCGGGAUCAAAUCAAUUUGAUGCUCUAUUCCUCUCAUAGGUGGCAGCCCCGGGGGUAUCUCAGCUGGGAAAACAUCCUCAUACUCCUGCAAAAGGUUAGUCACAACAGUAGGCAUCGAGCUAACAAUAUCAUCAAGCGAAUAAAUGACUUGUUUGCAAACCGAAGUGUAGCAAAUAUCAUCAUCAGAAAUUUCAGCAAGGUCACUCUUUCUUGCAAGCAUAACUGCACCCUUUAAUUUAAUUCCCUCAGCCUUAUUAAUAGGUGUCAUUUUGUCCUUUUUGGGUGGGUAAAUCGAAUUAGCAAUUUGCUGAUUUUCAGAUUUAAGAUCACACAAACUAGCAGCUCGUUCUCUAUCAGCUUAUACAAUUUCAGCACGAGUCGUAGGUACCAUAGUAAUUUUUUUUCCUUUAUGCAUAAAAGUGUAUGUGUUACUUCUGCCAUGGCGUAUAGCAUCAUUAUCAAAUUCCCAAGGACAACCCAAUAAAAGUGAACAAGCUUUCAUAGGUACCACAUCACAAUCAGCAUAAUCAGAAUAGGACCCAAAAAGAAACCCUGCAAGUUUGUGUUACCUUAGCUUUUCCAGCAUCGUUAAACCACUAAAGGUUGUAUGGAUGGGGGUGUGGACGUGUGGUCAAGCCAAGCUUCUUAACCAAAUCUGAACUUACCAAAUUGUUGCAACUACCUCCAUCAAUGAUGACAUGUGCACGAUGAUUGUUGAUGACGAAGAAAAUCUAGAACAAAUUGUGGCAUUGCAGCUUCUCUAGUUGUUGUACCUUUGUACUAAGCAUCCGCUGCACAAUGACGCUCAUAUAGGUCAUUGUGUCAUCACUUCCCACAACUUCAUCGUUCUCUUGCACAACCGGUUCGUCUUCAUCAUCUCCCUCAACAUCAGAGGUGCUGAUGUAUCCAUCUUCUGUAGCAAUGUAAGCCCAUUGACUGGGGCAAUCCUUCCGAAUAUGACCGAACCCUUGGCAGCGGCGACACUGAAUGCUAGAGGUGCGUCCUGUGGAAGCAACAGAGGAGGCACUUUUCACUGGUUCCUGCAAUUUUCACUGGUUCCUGCAAAACAGAAUUUUUACUUGAGCCUGAGGGUUGUGUAGUAGUCGGUUUUGGUGUUGUAGCUCCUCCAGAAGAUGCUUGCUGCUUGCUCGAUGGGAGGGGCGCCCUGUAAGUGGAUGCCAUGGACAGCCCUCCUGUGCGUGGCAUCUAUGUAUUGCUAGUCUUGUACUUACCCUGCUUGUCACGUAUCUGCAAUUCUUUCUCUGCAAGCAUAGCUUACUGAAACAACUGGUUGACAUUGUUAAAUUCUUUAUAAUCAACAAUAUCCUGAAUUUCUCGUCUCGGCCCCGAAUAAAAUCAACAAAUAGAAUCCUCGGGUUCCUCUACUAUGCUAUAACGCAUCCAACCCUUUUGAAGCUCACCAUAGUAAUCCUACAUAGAUUUAUCUCCCUGCUUAUACGAAUAGAUUCAAGCCUAGCUACAGGUGCAUAGGUCUCCCCAAAAUCCAAACGUUUGAUUUGAGUGAAAGUGUGAAACCUUUGGCUACCAACUGAACCUUGUUCCUUGUGACCACGCCAUACUUAGCUUCUUUGUUGCAAAAGACCCAUUUGGUGCCUAUCACAUUUUGCUUGGGUCUUUCCACCAAGGACCAGACUUCAUUCCUAGUGAAGUUGUUCAGCUCCUCUUGCAUGGCAAUGACCCAGUCCAGGUCCUUCGAAGCAUCCUCCACCCUUUCUGGCAAUAUAGAAGAGACAAAAGCGUAAUGUUCACAAAAACCAACUAAACAAGAGCGUAUAGUUACCUCUCGUCGUAUAUCUCCCAAGAUGCUAUCAAAUGGAUGGUCCCGCUGAAUGGAUUGAUGAAGCCUAGGAUGAGGUACUGCUGUUCUUGUUUGAAUUGGGCCAUCAUCUUCAUUUCAUUGUCUUUGUUGAUUGGAGAAUCUAGAUCUUUGAAAGGUCCUAAUAUGGCUAGAGGGGGGUGAAUAGCCUAUUUAAAAAUUCUACAAACUCACUAGAGCAAGAGGUUAGUAGAUAACAAAGCGAAGUCUUUUUGCUCUAGCUCUAAUGGGGUGUUUGCAAGCCACCUAUCCAACAAAUCUAGUUGAUAUAAACACUAGGCACACAAGAGCUAAGUCACUACUUACACUAGAAAGCUACCUAAAGUUUCUAAGUAAGUAAGCUACUCUAGUUUGCGGGAAUGUAAAAGAGAUGGUUUGAACUUUAUACCGCCGCGUAGAGGGGAUGAACCAAUCAAUAAUAUGAAGUCCAAUCACCGAGAGAAAUCCAAUGAACAAUCACAAUGGAGACACACAAAUUUUCUCCCGAGGUUCACGUGCUUGCCUGCACACUACGUCCCCGUUGUGUCGACCCACACUUGGUGGUUCGGUGGCUAAGAGGUGUAGCACGAACCUCGUCCUCACUAGGACACCACAAGAACCUACCCACAAGUGAGGUAACUCAAUGACACGAGCAAUCCACUAGAGUUACCUUUCGGCUCUCCGCCGGGGAAGGUACAAGACCCCUCACAAUCACCGAGAGAUGGCCACGAACAAUCACCAACUCGUGCCAAUCCUCCUCCGCUGCUCCAAGCCGUCUAGGUGGCGGCAACCACCAAGAGUAACAAGAAAACCGCAGCUAGAACGAUCCUCAAGUGCCACUAGAUGCAAUCACUCAAGCAAAUGCACUUGGAAUCACUCCCAAUCUCACAAAGAUGUUUAAUCUAUGAAGGAGAUGAGUGGGAGGUGUUUGCUUAGGCUCACAAGGAUGUCAAGUAUGUUAGAAUGCCAAGAGAGUGAGCCCUAAGCUGGCCAAACACGUAUAUAUAGCCCCUCAAGCAAAUAGAGCCGUUGGCUCUUUCACUGGGCGAAAUACGGGGUCACCGGACGCUCUUAAAGGGGCACCGGACAAUCAACACCUGCGUCCGGUGCUCCAAUGUCAGCCGCGUGUCAGAGUCUAACGGUAACCUGCAGAGCACCAGACGCUGAGCAGGUUGGCACCGGACGCGUCCGGUGCACACCGGACUCAUGCGCACAGAGCUCCGCAAACUCGCAGGGUCACCGGACGCAAGCCACCGGACGCACCCUUAGCGUCCGGUGCUCACCGGACCCAUGCGCAGAGAGGGUCGCAAAACGUCCGCACACCGGACGCUCAAGCCAGCGUCCGGUGCCUAUCGUCCGGUGCCUUACCCUAACUGGGCCAGGCACUGUCUGCACCGGACGCUCAGACUUAGCGUCCGGUGCCUCAGUGCCCAGCGUCCGGUGAGUGUUUUUCAACGAGAAACACUCCUGCGACUACUCCAAAUUUUCCACCGGCGCAAUAGAAAAUAUGCACUUCAUUUUCUCGAAAAGCGCCGAACCCACCCUCUCUCUACCCUUCAACCUCUACCACCUUCUCAAGGUGUGCCAACACCACAAUGUGUAAACCAACAUGUGCACGUGUGUUAGCAUUUUCACAAACAUUUUUCUUCGAAGGAGUUAAGUUAGCUCACUAGGUUCUAAAUGCAUGCACAUGAACAAUAACACCUAGUGGCACUUGAUAACCGCUUAGCCAAAGAAUUCCCCUCUUUAUAGUACGGCUAUCUAUCCUAAAUGUGAUCACACCCUCUAUGGUGUCUUGAUCACCAAAACCAAAACCCUAAGCAAUACCUUUGCCUUGAUCUCCAUAGGGUUUUGUUUUUCUCUUUCUUCUUUUCCAAGUUGAGCACUUGAUCACCUUGUGGUCAUCACCAUGAUCACCAUGAUCAUCUCUUGCUCCAUUACUUGGCAUGUACCAACCUCAUUAAGUCUACACACACUUAGUAUAGAGGUUAGUACUUAGGGCUUCAUCAAUUAUCCAAAACCAAACUAGGGCUUUCAAUCUUGAAUGUCUUGAUCACCAUCUUGGUUGGCUCUUGAGCUUGGGGUGGAUCUUGGCUAACUUGUUCUCUCGAGUCAUGACCCCUUAUUGAUGUGGAAGCAUCAUCAUGGGCAUUGGUUGAACCAUGAUGCAAGUUUGGAUCACAAGGAAUUUGCAUAUGUGCAUCAUCUUCUUCUUCUUCAAUGGGUUUCACUUCACUGGUAGCAAGCUUUUUGAUUACUUGAUAAGAUGGUUUGUCUUUACCUAAAAUUUCAGCAUUGACUUGCUCCUUUUGAGAGCCAUCGCUUUCAUCAAAAGUCGAGUCUAUCGCUAUCUCAAUUUGACCGGUGGUCUCAUUGAAAACACGAUCGCCAUGUUCAUUAGUAGCAUAAGCAAGCAAGAACCCUUCACCAACCUUUGGUGCAAACUUAGAGCUUUUAGAUUUCUUAUUAAGUAUAAAACACUUGCAUCCAAAAACUCUAAAGUAAUCCAACUUAGGCUUUUUACCAGUUAUAAGCUCGUAGGCGAUUUUCUUCCUCAACUUGUGGAGGUACAAGCGGUUGAUGACGUGACAUGCCGUGUUGACCGCUUCCGCCGAAUAGUCCUUUUUGGAGAUCUUGUAUUCAUCCAACAUUGCUCCUAUGGCUUCAAUAAGUGUUUGGUUCUUCCUCUCCACAACAACAUUUUGUUGUGGAGUGUAUGGAACGAAGAACUCAUGCUUGAUGCCUUCUUCAUCAAGGAAAGCUUCAAUGUUGGUGUUUCUCAACUCUAUCCCAUUGUCACUUCUAAGUUUCUUGAUCUUCACUUCAAACUCAUUUUGAGCUCUUCUUGCAAACUUUUUGAAGAUCCCUUGCGUUUCACCUUUAUCUCUCAAAAAGAACACCCAAGUGAAGCGAGAAAAAUCAUCAAUAAUCACAAAACCAUAUUUGUUACCUCCAAUGCUAAUAUAAGUAUGGGUCCGAAUAAGUCCAUGUGAAGUAACUCAAGUGGUCUUGAUGUAGUCACAAUGUUCUUAGUAGGAUGCUUAGCUCCAACUUGCUUUCCUGCUUGACAUGCACUACAAAUUCUAUCUUUCUCAAAAGAAACAUUUGUUAGUCCUAGAAUGUGUCCACCUCUUUGAAGAUCGGCCAAGUUCCUCAUCUCGACAUGAGCAAUAUGGCGAUGCCAUAACCAGCCCGUGCUAGAUUUUGCCACUAAACAAGUCUUAGACCCCACUCUACUAGAUGAGAAAUCAACUAAAUAGAGCUUGCCCUUUAGUUGACCCGUAAAAGCAAUAGAGCAAUCCGACCUUCUGGAGUCUUCCACACCCUUAUCCAUAAAGAGACAAUUGUAACCCUUCUCACAAAGUUGUGAGUGUUGACGGUUCUUAAGUAUCAAUUUUAAUUAUCAAAUAAACAAGAGAAAGGACCAAUAUACAAACAACACCUAGAAUUAGGGUUUGAUCUGACAGAAUUCCACGAGUUUUGUUGUUUAUCUGUUUCUACAGGGGGUUAUCAGGAAAUAAGGAAGAAAGGCCCACAUGUCGGGAUUACAUAGAGAUAUUAACACACUGCGCAAUUUUCUACCAUCUAGAAGACUCCAGAAGCCACGGGAACGAACGGGAAGGCGAUCGGGCCUAGGGGCAGGGCGCCCGCCCAGGUGUUGGGCCAAUCACGUCCAACUUCGCGGAUCAGGCUCCACCGACCUAAAGGAUCAAGGAUAACCAUUCAAUCAAUGUCGGUUUGAUCCGACGGCCCACGUUCACCUGAGGGGACUAUAUAAGCAGACCCCCUGGCCCCUGGAGGAGAACAAGUUCAUCAUAGAGUUGAGAGGUGCCCUCGAAGGAUAACCUUUCCUCUACAUAGACUUAGGGCUUAGCAUCCAAUGUGAGAGUAGACUAGUUCUACUAUAUUGAGAGAGAUAGAGUGGAGGUGUAGAUCGGAGGAAGCCCGGCCUAUCGGUGUUUACUCCGAGGUUGUACGUGCGGGAUCAAGUUCUCCUAACCCGAAGCUUGCUCCUAAGAUUCUUCAGUAUUUCGACUUCUAAAUUCUAGUAAGUUCUUGUUUUAUUGUUCUUUGGUUUAUGAGUUUACUUUAGUCUCUUCACGUAGAGUUUAGAGUAAUCAUCUCUGGCAUAAACGUGGUGUUUGGGCUAGGAUACUCAUAGAUAUCCCCUGACUAGCUGGACCGUGGUAGUAGCGAGGAACGUGACAUUUCUGAGUUACCUUUGCAGCCCAUAUCCCGUUAGAUGGAUGGAUAGGGUUUAUAGCUGCAGGUUGAACAUCCUCUGUGGUGUCUAGAUUCUGUGAGCCUCCCCAAUAGAACAAUAGAUCAUCCUUACCAAGGUUAGAAAGAGAUUAUGGUUGUAGUCUUCUCUAUACAUCGCUCACAUCGAGAAACAUUCUUUGUAGCCUAAAGGUUAGUAGUAAUAGACCAGGUUAGUCAGAUGCACUCUUUCUCCUAGUGGUAAAAAUAUAAAUACAAUACUCUGGAUAACAUCCCGGGUGAAGUGCUCAGCGAUAUCCGUGCGCUUGCGGAUCAAUUCCUUAUUGCGUUCCCAAAUAUCAACAAGCAUUUCUGGCGCCGUUGCCGGGGAGAAAGGCGGUUUGCUGAGAAAACCUUAAGUCUUACUACUAGCUUGUAUCUAUACUUUUAUCUUUUCUUAUCUUUUAUAUUCUUUAUUUAUUUUCUUUAUUCUUACUUUAUGGAAAACCAAGAUUCUAAAUCGAUCUAUCAAUUUGCAACACCUUCGGAAACUGACCUUUUACCAUGGGAGUCAUCACAUCCUAUCCAAACAUCCCAGUAUAGGUUAAGUUCCAGGAUGAUUGCCAUGAUUCAAAACCUAUCUUUUUCAGGAAAGGAAGACGAAAACCCUUACCUUCAUAUUAGAGAUUUUGAGCAAACAUGUGAUUGUCUUCGCAUUGAAGGCAUUUCUGAUAAAACUUUACGUUGGAAGCUUUUUACUUUUUAUUUAAUCGGAGAAGCUAGACAAUGGUACAGUCAGAAGGUAAGUCAAAAAUGAGGUGAAUGGGGAGUUUUACGAGCCAACUUUUGCCUAUAUUUUUAUUCCCUCGACCGUAUCGGUGACAUUAGACUCGAAGUCCUAUCUUUUAAACAAAAAGGUAAUGAAACUUUGGGAAAAUCCUGGAAACGUUUUUCUGAUCUUUUAGAAUCUGGUCCAAACCUUAAUAUUGAAUUUCAUUUUUUUCAAGGUCUUCAGAAAGAUCAUAAACAAAUGCUACAUACAAUGUCUAGAGGUUCUUUCGCAUCCCUACCGAUGACGCUAGAGUGAUCCUAGAUAGAAUCCUAGAAGCUGAGAUGGAUAAUACCCUCCAUGAUGAAACCCACAAAGCCGAAGUAGACACUCUGCCAAAUUCUCUAUCUACUUUGGCUAUCCCAAGUUCUGAGCCACAAAAGGAAAAAAUUCCACCACCUGAUUUCAUGCUGGAUAUAGAAUCUGAUCUUUUUGCCAAUUUUGGAAAUAUUUCAAACUACCAUUCUACUAACAAACUCCAAAACGGCCAUUUUAGCAUUUGUUUGCCAACUGAACAUCAAUUGAGAGAGCUUAUCGCAGUCAUAAGUAGCGAAUGGUUGGAAGAGUCAGAGCUUUCCUCUGAUGUGAUCUGUUUGGACACACCUCCUAUAACUAUACGCUGUGCUUAUGAUUCUGAUCAAUUUGAUGCUCUCUAUAAUCCUAUUGUGGGGAUCAACAUCAUGUCUGAAUCUUUUGCACUUAAACUAUUUAAAAAUUUGGUCCUAACCCCCACAAUAAAGGUCAUAAAGGAAUCUUCGGGACGAUUAGUCCCCAGUCUUGGAAUUAUUAAUGUCCUACCCUUAUUGGUAGAAGGCUCCAUGGUUUAUUUGAACUUCUAUAUCUUUGAUACAUGGGACUUCGACCUGUUGAUAGGACAACCUUUUAGAAGACUCCUUUAUGAAGGUCAUAUUGGAAAGCUACACUUUUCUUUUGGAAAAACUUUUAAAAUUCCAAUAACGAUUUCACACUCCUUAAAUAAUAAGGCCGAGUCAUAUCUUUUGCCUGAUCCUAUGGAGGAGGUAAAGGCUGCAUCUGUAGAGCUUUUAGAUGAAUCAGACUUAGAAGACGAAGCUCCUUUCUUCAUAGAAGAAGAAGCUGAACCAUCUGAACCUGAACCCUUAGACGAGUUUGCAGAAACACCUAGACCUCCCAUAGAGCUUAAAACUUUACCACCCGGUCUUAUCUAUGCUUUCCUAAACAAUAAUCCAGAGUUUCCUGUGAUCAUUAGUGAUAAACUCACACAAGAGCAAACUCUGCGAUUGAUGACCAUUCUUGAGAAACAUCACUCAGUUUUUGGCUACUCACUCCAAGAUCUUACAGGAAUCAGUCCUAUGAUUUGUACCCAUCGUAUUCCAACAGAUCCUUCUGUUUCACCUUCUCGAGAGCCCCAACGUAGACUGAACAACGCGAUGAGAGAGGUAGUUAAAAAGGAAGUUAUAAAGUUGCUGCAUGCAGGGAUUAUAUAUCCUGUGCCGCACAGUGAGUGGGUGAGCCCAGUUCAAGUUGUGCCUAAAAAUGGAGGCAUGACUGUCGUUAUGAAUGAAAAUAACGAGCUAAUUCCGCAACGCACCGUCAUAAGGUGGCGGAUGUGCAUAGACUAUAGAAAACUAAACAAAGCCACGAGAAAGGAUCAUUUUCCUUUACCUUUCAUAGAUGAGAUGCUAGAGCGAUUAGCAAACCAUUCGUUCUUCUGUUUCUUGGAUGGAUAUUCAGGGUAUCACCAGAUCCCGAUCCAUCCCGAUGAUCAAAGCAAAACCACUUUUACAUGCCCAUACAGAACUUAUGUUUACCGUAGAAUGUCUUUCGGGUUAUGUAAUACACCAGCUUCUUUUCAAAGAUGCAUGAUGUCUAUAUUUUCUGAUAUGAUUGAAGAGAUUAUGGAAGUUUUCAUGGAUGAUUUCUCUGUUUAUGGAAAAACUUUUGAUAGUUGUCUUGAAAACUUAGACAAGGUUUUGCAAAGAUGUGAAGAAAAGCAUUUAGUCCUUAAUUUGGAAAAAUGUCAUUUUAUGGUUAGGGAAGGAAUAGUGCUGGGACACCUAGUGUUUGAAAGAGUUAUUGAGGUAGACAAAGCUAAAAUUGAAGUAAUUGAACAACUACCUCCACCUGUGAAUAUAAAAGGAAUUCGAAGCUUUCUUGGCCAUGCUAGUUUUUAUCGCAGAUUCAUAAAAGAUUUCUCAUUUAUUGCUAGACCACUUACUCUUUUGCUAUCCAUGGAUGCUCCUUUCGAAUUUGAUGAUGCAUGCUUAACAUCUUUCAAUUUAUUAAAGAAUGCACUCAUCUAUGCACCAAUCAUUCAACCCCCUGAUUGGUCGUUAUCUUUUGAAAUUAUGUGUGAUGCUAGUGAUUAUGCUGUGGGGGCAGUUUUGGGACAAACUAAAAAUAAGAAGCAUCAUGCAAUUGCUUAUGCCAGUAAAACUUUGAUAGGAGCUCAACUUAAUUAUGCAACCACUGAAAAAGAGCUUCUGGCUGUUGUCUUUGCCAUUGAUAAAUUUAGAUCUUAUUUAGUUGGAGCUAAAAUAAUUGUUUACACUGAUCAUGCUGCACUAAAAUAUCUGCUCACUAAAAAAGAUGCUAAACCUCGCAUGAUUAGAUGGAUCCUAUUACUUUAAGAAUUUGACUUAGAAUUAAAAGAUAAAAAGGGAGUAGAAAAUUCUGUCGCUGAUCACUUGUCUCGAAUGUAUUUUAAGAAUUCACAGGAAACCCCCAUCAAUGAUUCACUCCGGGACGACAUGCUCUACGGGAUUAAUAGGUCUGACCCCUGGUAUGUAGAUAUUGUUAAUUUUAUGGUUUCAGGGUAUGUGCCACCAGGAGCAAACAAGAAGAAGCUUAUUCAAGAAAGUCGUUCACAUAUAUGGGAUGAGCCAUACCUCUUCCGAGUAUGCUCUGAUGGCUUACUCAGGAGAUGUGUGACCACUAAGGAAGGAUGGAAGAUCAUCAACAGAUGUCAUUCAUUACCAUAUGGAGGUCAUUAUGGAGCAUUCCGUACACAUUCAAAGAUCUAGCAAUGUGGAUUCUACUGGCCUACAAUGUAUGAAGACACAAAGCAAUAUAUCAGAAGAUAUGGGCCAUGUCAAAGGCACGGAAACAUAAACACAAGGGAUGCCAUGCCAAUCACCAACAACCUUCAGAUUGAGCUCUUUGAUAUCUGGGGAAUAGAUUACAUGGGUCCAUUUCCCCCAUCAAAGAUGUGUGAGUUCAUCUUGGUGGCAGUUGACUAUGUCUCCAAGUGGGUAGAGGCACUACCUUGCAAGCACGCCGACAACAUCAGUUCAAAGAGGAAGUUUAAAGAAGUUAUAUUUCCAAGAUUUGGAGUUCCAAGAGUAGUGAUAAGUGAUGGAGGAGCACAUUUCAUCGACAAACGCUUCAAGCAAUAUCUAUCAAAACAUGGAAUCCGUCAUAACGUCGCUACUCCCUACCAUCCUGAGACAAGUGGCCAAGCAGAAACUUCCAACAAAAAAAUCAAGAAUAUUCUCUAGAAGAUAGUCAAUGAAAUGGGAACGGCAUGGAAAGACAAGUUACCCGAUGCACUCUGGGCAUACCAGACAGCAUACAAGACACCAAUUGGAAUGUCCCCAUACCAAUUGGUGUACGGGAAGAUUUGCCACCUACCUGUUGAAUUAGAGUUCAAAGCACACUGGGCCAUAAGGAGAUGGAAUAUGGACCUAGAUGUCGCUGGAGAUCACAGAAGAGUGCAACUAUCAGAACUGGAAGAAUGGCGAGAGAAAGCAUAUCACAAUUCGAAGAUCUACAAAGAAAGAGUUAAAUGGUGGCAUGACAUGAGGAUCAAAAAGGAGUUCGCACCCGGAGAUAAGGUAUUACUUUUUAAUUCCAGGGUGAAGCUUUUCGGGCAUGGAGAACUCCGGAGUAAAUGGGAAGGACCAUUCAAGGUAAUCAAUUCAUCAUCCCACGGAGCUAUCACACUUCAAAAUGACGAAGGUACGUUAUUCAAGGUAAAUGGUCAACGUCUUAAAUUAUUUUUAGAGCCCAAUAAAGAAUUAGAAGAGAUAGAUGUGAUCCAUUUCUACCUUCCCAUGGAGAAUUAGAGCCCAACCUUUUUAAUCUGACGUUUUUGGGCCACACAUAUAUUUUCCGAAUAAAGUCUGCAUCUAGAAACACGCUCGAGGAAGCGGGCCAAAGAGAGGAGCCAGACACAGGGCAGGUGCCCAGCCCCUGUCCCCUCUCAGUCCCGAUUUCCUCUGUCACGAUAAACACAUUUAUGGUAAACCAAAUAAUCAUACAGAUGGAAAGUUUCGCACGCACGGUGGCGGGAGUAGCCCGAGCAAACCCUAGAGACACUUUUUGACCCAUAUAUAAACUGACCCCUAACGUCAGUUUUCAAACACCAAUUCAUACAAGCCUUCUCUCCUUCUUCAAUUAGAGCUUGCUUAGUCCCUCGCUGCUCCAAUGGCCGAAGAGUUCCACGACGAUUCGGAAGUCGUCCCCUAUGACCUCAACAAGAAGCCCAAGGAAGACCCCGACGCCCGCGCUCUUGUCCCGACCAACACAGAGCGACAGCUAGAAGCCAUGCCAUUACGCCAGCGCAGCUCCGCCCAAUCCACCAUGCUCAACCAGUUCUCACCGCACCACCGCAGCCCCUACUUCUCAAGGGACCAUCAGCCAACAAGGAGGCCACCGUCAUGGUGCCUGCCAGCACGAGGAUCCUACCACCCAGACCCAAUGAGAGGGUCGUUGGAGUCAAGACCAACCGGAGCGGCGAGAUCAGCAGCAUCCGCUACACUACGGAGGAAGAGAGGCCUUACUUUGAGGGGAUUAUAGCAGCCAAAGUCUGUUUCAUCCCUCCAAAGGCAGCCCCGAAGCACGCUCUCAACGCUCUCGAGACACCUCCUAAGCGUCGCAAGACUAUAGUAGAUUUGAUGAGGACGUUCGUAGGCUAGACAGGAUCAGUCCUCGAUUAACUCUAUCACUAGACAGCUCUCUAACCAGAACACCAUUAUACUAGGUCUUAGGCAUGAUCUUGCUAGUGCUAAUAAAAAGAUUAGGGAGUUAGAGCGCCGCUAGGUUAUCUAGAUUAGAUCUUGAGGCAAUGCAUCUUAGUUAUUUAUCUUUAAAUUUGGUUUAGAUCUAUUUAGCUUUAGUUCAUUACUAGUCAUUUUGUAAUAAAUGCCUCAAGAUUAAUAAAGAGUAUUAUUAUUAUUAUGUCUUGUGUGUCUCUACUUUAUAUUUAUGCAAGAAAGCAGAAAACAAGUAUGGGGGAGAUCCCUCGACAUGCCAAACACACUUCGACUACACCACUCCACGAUUCAGGUACAUACUCUACACACUUUAAACAUACACAUAUAUCUUGGAUUAUGCAAAAUAUUGUCUGUGACAUGAUAAAUUAAAAAGAUUAAAAUGUUUCUAAUCAUGAUUAAUCUCACUCUGUGAUAUUUCCUGAAACCUGCAAUUAUUGAAAAAUCAUUUUAAAACCCUGUGUUACUUAAGUCAAUGUGGAAUGUGAGAUGGUAGAGUAUGAGUAUCUUAUUCUUGAUAUCAAUGUUGCUUGGAGAAUUUAUUUCAAAAUCUUCAAAAAUUCUAGCUACCAUCCUCAGUGUUUUAUAUGCCUGAUAAACCUAUUAAUUAUAAUAAUAAAAGCUAUCUGCUCUGUAUUGAGUUUGUUCAAAAUGAGUUAGACCCUUGUUGAGAGAUUUAUCAUACUCCUAAGAUCAAGACAUUUAUUCAGAAAGAUUCACUCUUCCGAAGUAUUAUUGUGUUAGAGGCAUGGGUUAUGCAAAUAUAAGGAUAUUUCGAGGAAAUAAAAAGGAGCAAGUGCUCGACAACCUUGCAGAAAAAAUGGACAAGUGUCCGGCAGUAGAAUUAGGGGUACCUCGGUAUCCACCUGAAAAAAAAGAGAGAAAAGAAAGAAAAUAAUAGCCCAUGGUCCCUCUAAUAAGCAAUAUGCCAGUAAGAGUUGACAAGUUUUUAAUUUCCAAAGUCUUUGAUCUAAGAGUAUGGCAUUCUUCUCCUCGGAUCCCGUUUUGAUCAGGCAAUAAAUGCAAGGUAAGUACGUUUGAGAAUUUUUGCAAAUUAAAACAGCCUCAGUGAGAAAAAUAAAAGAUAAUGUGUGACAUG